This 252-nucleotide ribosomal RNA is filed under the name Staphylococcus epidermidis. RNAcentral describes it as "partial 16S ribosomal RNA". It matches the Rfam family "Bacterial small subunit ribosomal RNA", at positions 1289 to 1533 of the family's 1533-position model. The record is from RNAcentral. Lineage: Bacteria; Bacillati; Bacillota; Bacilli; Caryophanales; Staphylococcaceae.
CAGUUCGGAUUGUAGUCUGCAACUCGACUAUAGGAAGCUGGAAUCGCUAGUAAUCGUAGAUCAGCAUGCUACGGUGAAUACGUUCCCGGGUCUUGUACACACCGCCCGUCACACCACGAGAGUUUGUAACACCCGAAGCCGGUGGAGUAACCAUUUGGAGCUAGCCGUCGAAGGUGGGACAAAUGAUUGGGGUGAAGUCGUAACAAGGUAGCCGUAUCGGAAGGUGCGGCUGGAUCACCUCCUUUCUAAGGA